GUCUCGUUAGCUCAGCCGGUAGAGCAACUGGCUUUUAACCAGUGGGUCGCAAGUUCGAAUCUUGCACGGGACA
This is a transfer RNA of Spiroplasma sabaudiense Ar-1343, 73 nucleotides long. It matches the Rfam family "tRNA". From Rfam's summary of the family: Transfer RNA (tRNA) molecules are approximately 80 nucleotides in length. NCBI's taxonomy places the organism in Bacteria, Bacillati, Mycoplasmatota, Mollicutes, Entomoplasmatales, Spiroplasmataceae. The record is from Rfam.